Molecule: transfer RNA, 71 nt
Filed under: Marmota marmota marmota (Alpine marmot)
Lineage: Eukaryota; Metazoa; Chordata; Mammalia; Rodentia; Sciuridae
Also listed under: 1 other name
Rfam family: tRNA
About the family: Transfer RNA (tRNA) molecules are approximately 80 nucleotides in length. Their secondary structure includes four short double-helical elements and three loops (D, anti-codon, and T loops).
Source: Rfam by way of RNAcentral
GUGGUUGUGGCUUAGUGGCAGAGCACUUGCCUAGCACGUGUGUGGUACUGGGUUUAAUUCUCAGCACCACA